UUCUUCGGGGCGGGGUGCAAGUCCCCACCGGCAGUUAAAGUCUGCGAGUUGCUUUCAGCAACUGAUUUGGUGAGAUUCCAAAACCGACGGUAUAGUCCGGAUGGGAGGAGGA
This 112-nucleotide non-coding RNA is filed under the name uncultured Johnsonella sp. Its description in RNAcentral is "FMN riboswitch (RFN element)". It matches the Rfam family "FMN riboswitch aptamer (RFN element)". Rfam says of the family: The RFN element is a highly conserved domain that is found frequently in the 5'-untranslated regions of prokaryotic mRNAs that encode for flavin mononucleotide (FMN) biosynthesis and transport proteins. This element is a metabolite-dependent riboswitch that directly binds FMN in the absence of proteins. The record is from RNAcentral. Lineage: Bacteria; Bacillati; Bacillota; Clostridia; Lachnospirales; Lachnospiraceae.